RNAcentral lists this ribosomal RNA (1150 nucleotides) under uncultured bacterium. Its description in RNAcentral is "bacterial SSU rRNA". It matches the Rfam family "Bacterial small subunit ribosomal RNA", at positions 1 to 1177 of the family's 1533-position model. The record is from RNAcentral.
UUAGAGUUUGAUCCUGGCUCAGAACGAACGCUGGCGGCGUGGAUAAGACAUGCAAGUCGAACGAGAGAAUUGCUAGCUUGCUAAUAAUUCUCUAGUGGCGCACGGGUGAGUAACACGUGAGUAACCUGCCCCCGAGAGCGGGAUAGCCCUGGGAAACUGGGAUUAAUACCGCAUAGUAUCCAAAGAUUAAAGCGCGAUGCGCUUGGGGAUGGGCUCGCGGCCUAUUAGUUAGUUGGUGAGGUAACGGCUCACCAAGGCGAUGACGGGUAGCCGGUCUGAGAGGAUGUCCGGCCACACUGGAACUGAGACACGGUCCAGACACCUACGGGUGGCAGCAGGCGAGAAUCAUUCACAAUGGGGGAAACCCUGAUGGUGUGACGCCGCGUGGGGGAAUGAAGGUCUUCGGAUUGAAAACCCCUGUCAUGUGGGAGCAAAUUAGAAAGAUAAUACCACAAGAGGAAGAGACGGCUAACUCUGUGCCAGCAACCGCGGUAAAACAGAGGUCUCAAGCGUUUUUCGGAAUCACUGGGCGUAAAGCGUGCGUAGGCUGUUUGAUAAAUUCAGUGUGAAAGGCGCGGGCUCAACCCGCGGACGGCACAUGAUACUGCGAGACUAGAGUAAUGGAGGGGGAACCGGAAUUCUCGGUGUAGCAUGGAAAUGCGUAGAUAUCGAGAGGAACACUCGCGCCGAAGGCGGGUUCUUCGUCAUUAACUGACGCUGAGGCUCGAGCGCCAGGGGAGCGAAAGCGAUCAGAUACCCCUGUAGUCGUGGCAGUAAACGGUGCACGCUUGGUGUGCGGGGAAUCGGCCCCCUGCGUGCCGGAGCUCACGCGUUAGGGGGUGCCGCUUGGGGAGUACGGUCGCAAGAUUAAAACUCAAAGAAAUUGACGGGGACCCGCACAAGCGGUGGAGUAUGUGGCUUAAUUCGAUGCAACGCGAAGAACCUUACCUGGGCUUGACAUGUAAUGAACAACAUGUGAAAGCAUGUGACUCUUCGGAGGCGUUACACAGGUGACGCAUGGCCGUCGUCAGCUCGUGUCGUGAGAUGUUUGGUUAAGUCCAGCAACGAGCGCAACCCCUGUUCCCAGUUACCAGCACGUGAAGGUGGGGACUCUGGCGAGACUGCCCAGAUCAACUGGGAGGAAGGUGGG